Long non-coding RNA from Mugil cephalus (flathead mullet), 303 nucleotides. RefSeq lists it as uncharacterized. NCBI's taxonomy places the organism in Eukaryota, Metazoa, Chordata, Actinopteri, Mugiliformes, Mugilidae. The record is from RefSeq and is a predicted model, not a curated record. The transcript has 3 exons.
ACCAGACAAGGAGAACGCUUUUGGGGUCUGCUGACUUCCCAGAAUAAACCAGUUCCUCUGAAGAGCAUUGAGGUGGAGCUGGAGGUGAAGGAUCAUGUGGCUACAGUGGUCUCCACUCUCCUCUACGAGAACAAGGAGGACAAACCACUAGAGGCUGUUUUUGUCUUUCCUCUGCCUGGAGAUGCUGCUGUCUGUCAUUUCAGUGCUAAGAUUGGACAGACACAGAUUGUAGCUGAGGUGAAGGAGAAAAAGGAGGCUCGUGAGGAUUAUGAUGAUGCACUGAGCUCUGGUCAGCAGGCCUUC